Molecule: ribosomal RNA, 463 nt
Filed under: uncultured bacterium
Lineage: Bacteria
Description: partial 16S ribosomal RNA
Rfam family: Bacterial small subunit ribosomal RNA
Source: RNAcentral
GACGAACGCUGGCGGCGUGCUUAACACAUGCCAGUCGAGCGGAAAGGCCACUUCGGUGGUACUCGAGCGGCGCACGGGUGAGUAACACGUGAGUAAUCUGCCCCUCACUUUGGGAUAGCCACCGGAAACGGUGAUUAAUACCGGAUAUGACCAUAUGUCGCAUGGCGUGUGGUGGAAAGUUUUUCGGUGAGGGAUGUGCUCGCGGCCUAUCAGCUUGAUGGUGAGGUAAUGGCUCACCAUGGCUUCGACGGGUAGCCGGCCUGAGAGGGUGACCGGUCACACUGGGACUGAGACACGGCCCAGACUCCUACGGGAGGCAGCAGUGGGGAAUAUUGGACAAUGGGCGGAAGCCUGAUCCAGCAACGCCGCGUGAGGGAUGACGGCCUUCGGGUUGUAAACCUCUUUCAGUACCGACGAAGCGCAAGUGACGGUAGGUACAGAAGAAGCACCGGCCAACUACGUG